This 165-nucleotide unclassified non-coding RNA is filed under the name Limosilactobacillus fermentum. RNAcentral describes it as "Lactobacillus fermentum T-box". Lineage: Bacteria; Bacillati; Bacillota; Bacilli; Lactobacillales; Lactobacillaceae. The record is from RNAcentral.
UCUGCAACGAUGACGGAAAAGAUGGUUCAGCCGUCCAUGAAGCGACCGGGGGAGGGUGCAAGCCCCGGGGGACGUGAACCUGGUGGCACUCCCGAGUUGCCUUAACGAAGCUGUCCCACCUCCCUGGGAAAGCAGGGUGGAACCGCGAAGUUAUUCGUCCCUGCA